RNAcentral lists this ribosomal RNA (275 nucleotides) under Klebsiella pneumoniae. RNAcentral's name for it is "partial 16S ribosomal RNA". It matches the Rfam family "Bacterial small subunit ribosomal RNA", at positions 334 to 601 of the family's 1533-position model. The record is from RNAcentral. Lineage: Bacteria; Pseudomonadati; Pseudomonadota; Gammaproteobacteria; Enterobacterales; Enterobacteriaceae.
GACUCCUACGGGAGGCAGCAGUGGGGAAUAUUGCACAAUGGGCGCAAGCCUGAUGCAGCCAUGCCGCGUGUGUGAAGAAGGCCUUCGGGUUGUAAAGCACUUUCAGCGGGGAGGAAGGCGUUAAGGUUAAUAACCUUGGCGAUUGACGUUACCCGCAGAAGAAGCACCGGCUAACUCCGUGCCAGCAGCCGCGGUAAUACGGAGGGUGCAAGCGUUAAUCGGAAUUACUGGGCGUAAAGCGCACGCAGGCGGUCUGUCAAGUCGGAUGUGAAAUC